GAUGAACGCUGGCGGCGUGCCUAAUACAUGCAAGUCGAGCGAACAGACGAGGAGCUUGCUCCUCUGACGUUAGCGGCGGACGGGUGAGUAACACGUGGAUAACCUACCUAUAAGACUGGGAUAACUUCGGGAGACCGGAGCUAAUACCGGAUAAUAUAUUGAACCGCAUGGUUCAAUAGUGAAAGACGGUUUUGCUGUCACUUAUAGAUGGAUCCGCGCCGCAUUAGCUAGUUGGUAAGGUAACGGCUUACCAAGGCAACGAUGCGUAGCCGACCUGAGAGGGUGAUCGGCCACCCUGGAACUGAGACACGGUCCAGACUCCUACGGGAGGCAGCAGUAGGGAAUCUUCCGCAAUGGGCGAAAGCCUGACGGAGCAACGCAGCGUGAGUGAUGAAGGUCUUCGGAUCGUAAAACUCUGUUAUUAGGGAAGAACAAAUGUGUAAGUAACUAUGCACGUCUUGACGGUACCUAAUCAGAAAGCCACGGCUAACUACGUG
Molecule: ribosomal RNA, 497 nt
Filed under: uncultured bacterium
Lineage: Bacteria
Description: partial 16S ribosomal RNA
Rfam family: Bacterial small subunit ribosomal RNA
Source: RNAcentral